UGAGGAAUAUUGGGCAAUACCCGCAAGGGUGACCCAGCAACGCCGCGUGGAGGAUGAAUGUCGUAAGAUUGUAAACUCCUGUUAGAGGGGAAGAAUAGUACCGGUUGGACCGGUAUAUGACUGUACCCUCAGAGAAAGCCCCGGCUAACUACGUGCCAGCAGCCGCGGUAAUACGGAGGGGGCAAGCGUUGUCCGGCUUUACUGGGUGUAAAGGGCGCGCAGGCGGGAUAAAAAGUCAGUGGUGAAAUCCUACAGCUUAACUGUAGAACUGCCUUUUAUACUUUUACUCUGGAGUGCGGGAGAGAGAGACGGAAUUCCAGGUGUAGUGGUGAAAUACGUAGAUAUCUGGAAGAACACCAGUUGCGAAGGCGGUCUCUUGGUCCGACACUGACGCUGAGGCGCGAAAGC
RNAcentral lists this ribosomal RNA (408 nucleotides) under uncultured bacterium. RNAcentral's name for it is "bacterial SSU rRNA". It matches the Rfam family "Bacterial small subunit ribosomal RNA", at positions 355 to 760 of the family's 1533-position model. The record is from RNAcentral.